This 390-nucleotide ribosomal RNA is filed under the name Triticum aestivum (bread wheat). RNAcentral describes it as "partial small subunit ribosomal RNA". Lineage: Eukaryota; Viridiplantae; Streptophyta; Magnoliopsida; Poales; Poaceae. The record is from RNAcentral.
AUGGCCAUUUUCGACGAGUUCUAUGUUGGGUCCAUCGAUCUCGGGCGCCUCAACUAUGGGAUCAUCUCGCUCAUCCCGAAGGUUUCGGGCGCCUCCGACAUCCGUCAGUUUCAUCCAAUCACGGUCAUCAACGUGAUGUUUCGGAUUCUGGCAAAAGGGUACGCCAAUAGGGUGACUCUCCUCGCUGACCAAAUUACCCACCCCAACCAAUUCGCCUUCAUUCAAGGGCGGUAUAUCCUGGAUGGGGUGCUAGCUCUUCAUGAAAUCCUCCAUGAGGUGCGAUCUAAACACCUCAAGGGGGUCUUCUUGAAGAUUGCACUGUUAGUUGGCCCUUCCUUCGGGAAGUAUUGCUCCAGAAGGGCUUUGACGACCGUUGGAUCUCCAGGAUAA